CCUANGGGGGGCAGCAGUGGGGAAUUUUGCGCAAUGGGCGAAAGCCUGACGCAGCGACGCCGCGUGAGUGAUGAAGGCCUUCGGGUCGUAAAGCUCUGUCGGAUGGGAACGAAAAGGUCAGGGGAACAAUACCUCCUGGCCGUGACGGUACCUGUCCAGAAAGCACCGGCUAACUCUGUGCCAGCAGCCGCGGUAAUACAGAGGGUGCAAGCGUUGUUCGGAAUCAUUGGUCGUAAAGGGCGUGUAGGCGGGACUGCAUGUCGGAUGUGAAAUACCUGGGCUCAACCCAGGAAUUGCGUCCGAAACUGCAGUUCUUGAGUACGGGAGAGGGAAGCGGAAUUCCCAGUGUAGAGGUGAAAUUCGUAGAUAUUGGGAGGAACACCGGUGGCGAAGGCGGCUUCCUGGACCGAUACUGACGCUGAGACGCGAAAGCGUGGGGAGCAAACAGGAUUAGAUACCCGUNUANUC
This 468-nucleotide ribosomal RNA is filed under the name uncultured bacterium. RNAcentral describes it as "bacterial SSU rRNA". It matches the Rfam family "Bacterial small subunit ribosomal RNA", at positions 338 to 795 of the family's 1533-position model. The record is from RNAcentral.